UCUUGAAUGUCCAAAUUGGUAGUAAAGAAUCUGUCUGCAAAGCAGGAGACCUGGGUUCAAUUUCUGGGUCAGGAA
Molecule: transfer RNA, 75 nt
Filed under: Bos taurus (domestic cattle)
Lineage: Eukaryota; Metazoa; Chordata; Mammalia; Artiodactyla; Bovidae
Also listed under: 4 other names
Rfam family: tRNA
About the family: Transfer RNA (tRNA) molecules are approximately 80 nucleotides in length. Their secondary structure includes four short double-helical elements and three loops (D, anti-codon, and T loops). Further hydrogen bonds mediate the characteristic L-shaped molecular structure. tRNAs have two regions of fundamental functional importance: the anti-codon, which is responsible for specific mRNA codon recognition, and the 3' end, to which the tRNAs corresponding amino acid is attached (by aminoacyl-tRNA synthetases). tRNAs cope with the degeneracy of the genetic code in two manners: having more than one tRNA (with a specific anti-codon) for a particular amino acid; and 'wobble' base-pairing, i.e. permitting non-standard base-pairing at the 3rd anti-codon position.
Source: Rfam by way of RNAcentral